Molecule: ribosomal RNA, 726 nt
Filed under: uncultured bacterium
Lineage: Bacteria
Description: bacterial SSU rRNA
Rfam family: Bacterial small subunit ribosomal RNA
Source: RNAcentral
GGGUGAGUAACACGUAUGCAACCUGCCCCUGUCAGGGGGACAACCCGCCGAAAGGCGGGCUAAACCCGCGUACAUGCCACCGGGGCAUCCCGGAGGCAGGAAAGGCUUCGGCCGGACAGGGAUGGGCAUGCGGCGCAUUAGGCAGUAGGCGGGGUAACGGCCCACCUAACCGACGAUGCGUAGGGGUUCUGAGAGGAAGGUCCCCCACACUGGUACUGAGACACGGACCAGACUCCUACGGGAGGCAGCAGUGAGGAAUAUUGGUCAAUGGUCGGGAGACUGAACCAGCCUAGCCGCGUGAGGGAUGAAGGUACAGAGUAUCGUAAACCUCUUUUGUCAGGGAACAAAGGCGGGGACGUGUCCCCGGAUGAGUGUACCUGAAGAAAAAGCAUCGGCUAACUCCGUGCCAGCAGCCGCGGUAAUACGGAGGAUGCGAGCGUUAUCCGGAUUUAUUGGGUUUAAAGGGUGCGCAGGCGGUCUGUUAAGUCAGCGGUCAAAGCCCGGGGCUCAACCCCGGCCCGCCGUUGAAACUGGCAGUCUCGAGUUGGAGAGAAGUAUGCGGAAUGCGCGGUGUAGCGGUGAAAUGCAUAGAUAUCGCGCAGAACUCCGAUUGCGAAGGCAGCAUGCCGGCUCCACACUGACGCUGAGGCACGAAAGCGUGGGUAUCGAACAGGAUUAGAUACCCUGGUAGUCCACGCAGUAAACGAUGAAUGCUGGCUGUCCGGG